Long non-coding RNA from Canis lupus familiaris (dog), 984 nucleotides. RefSeq lists it as uncharacterized. Lineage: Eukaryota; Metazoa; Chordata; Mammalia; Carnivora; Canidae. The transcript has 3 exons. The record is from RefSeq and is a predicted model, not a curated record.
UCCCUCAGGGAUAAGCUCACCCACUGGUUUUCAAAUUGGGUUCCAUACGGCUGUAGGGUCCGAUGUUCAACAAAGGGGAUAGUGAGUGUGCCAAAACAACUCUACUUUUUUGUGUUUCAGAUAUUGAGGUUCCCAGAAAGGCUGCAUUUCAAACCAAGUCUGAAACCCACCACCAACCCAACCCCCUUCUUCUUACAGAUAAGGGAACCGAAGCACACAGAACCCUGAACCCUUUUUCUUGGAACUCCCAUGGAUCCUGUGAUCACUGAAAACUCAUUUUACUUUAAGGAAAACAUGAUGAAUGAUUAAGCUCCAUAACAAAGACCCUGUGCACGGAAUACGUAAGGAUUUCUAGUUGUGACAAGUCUGCAAUGGAAAACUUUUGGCAAAUGGAAAACCAAGGUAAGAAACGUGCCCCGGAGCAUGUCUCCCCUGGGCACACCCCCCUCUUUUCCAGUGCCCGGUGCAACAUGGAGCAACCUAGUCUAUGCAAGCACAGGAUGGAUUUUACAGCUGAGCUGAGGCACACGAGGCUUUGUGAGCCUCUGUGCUUGUGUUUUCUUCCAGAGGAAGUUUGCUUAGGCUGGGCCAGAUUUCUCUAGAAAGUCUGCUAGUGGAGAUGCUCAAGUAGCCCAUUCUUUCUGGGCCAGCGGGAAGCUGGGGGAGGGGCCAUCUGUGCUCUGCAGAGCCCAGCAGGAACACUCCUCCUGUCUACGUGGACAUUCCAUGCACUUCCUGACAUGCAAGUAGCAGCAUCUGAAGCCUGAAUCAUAAUGCUCCAGGGAGCCCAGGAGGAGCCCCCCACCACCACAGCUGAAGGUGCAAAGCACCUGGCAUUUGGUAGAUGCUGAACUACUUCCCAAAUGAAGGACCAGGAGAGAUGGAGAGAGACCCACGAAACCACAAACACUGAGUCACAAGGGGGAGAGCCAGACAUGCGGUUGCUUUACCCUCACAAUCCCACAUUGCCGAUCUGAUUAAAUU